Long non-coding RNA from Alligator sinensis (Chinese alligator), 308 nucleotides. RefSeq lists it as uncharacterized. NCBI's taxonomy places the organism in Eukaryota, Metazoa, Chordata, Crocodylia, Alligatoridae. The record is from RefSeq and is a predicted model, not a curated record. The transcript has 3 exons.
AGUCACUGUGUGCACAUGGCUGCAAUACCUGAAUCAAAGAACUGUGGUCCUGCACAGAAGACCAUAGGGACUGCUUUGCAGCAGAAGCCCAGAGGAGAGGGACCAGGGCGGGAUCCUAUCCAUGAGUGACAGCUGCCUGUCCAACACAUACCACUGCCAUGUGGGAUAAACAACGGUGAGGAUAAAAAUUCAGAUCUUCAAGCUCUGCCCAUUCAACUCAAGGAAAAUCUCCAUCAGCAGUAUGGAACCUUUGACACACACGUGUGAACAGUCUUGGCUCCAAAAGAGAACAGUAGAAUAAAACCAGA